GUUGCGGCAAAAUCCGCAACCGGGCGUAGGAACCUGAAUAGCUCAACGACGACACAGAGAUACUUUUU
RNAcentral lists this small RNA (68 nucleotides) under Trabulsiella odontotermitis. RNAcentral's name for it is "isrK". Lineage: Bacteria; Pseudomonadati; Pseudomonadota; Gammaproteobacteria; Enterobacterales; Enterobacteriaceae. The record is from RNAcentral.